GAUGAACGCUGGCGGCGUGCCUAAUACAUGCAAGUCGAGCGAACGGACGAGAAGCUUGCUUCUCUGAUGUUAGCGGCGGACGGGUGAGUAACACGUGGAUAACCUACCUAUAAGACUGGGAUAACUUCGGGAAACCGGAGCUAAUACCGGAUAAUAUUUUGAACCGCAUGGUUCAAAAGUGAAAGACGGUCUUGCUGUCACUUAUAGAUGGAUCCGCGCUGCAUUAGCUAGUUGGUAAGGUAACGGCUUACCAAGGCAACGAUGCAUAGCCGACCUGAGAGGGUGAUCGGCCACACUGGAACUGAGACACGGUCCAGACUCCUACGGGAGGCAGCAGUAGGGAAUCUUCCGCAAUGGGCGAAAGCCUGACGGAGCAACGCCGCGUGAGUGAUGAAGGUCUUCGGAUCGUAAAACUCUGUUAUUAGGGAAGAACAUAUGUGUAAGUAACUGUGCACAUCUUGACGGUACCUAAUCAGAAAGCCACGGCUAACUACGUGCCAGCAGCCGCGGUAAUACGUAGGUGGCAAGCGUUAUCCGGAAUUAUUGGGCGUAAAGCGCGCGUAGGCGGUUUUUUAAGUCUGAUGUGAAAGCCCACGGCUCAACCGUGGAGGGUCAUUGGAAACUGGAAAACUUGAGUGCAGAAGAGGAAAGUGGAAUUCCAUGUGUAGCGGUGAAAUGCGCAGAGAUAUGGAGGAACACCAGUGGCGAAGGCGACUUUCUGGUCUGUAACUGACGCUGAUGUGCGAAAGCGUGGGGAUCAAACAGGAUUAGAUACCCUGGUAGUCCACGCCGUAAACGAUGAGUGCUAGGUGUUAGGGGGUUUCCGCCCCUUAGUGCUGCAGCUAACGCAUUAAGCACUCCGCCUGGGGAGUACGACCGCAGGGUUGAAACUCAAAGGAAUUGACGGGGACCCGCACAAGCGGUGGAGCAUGUGGUUUAAUUCGAAGCAACGCGAAGAACCUUACCAAAUCUUGACAUCCUUUGACAACUCUAGAGAUAGAGCCUUCCCCUUCGGGGGACAAAGUGACAGGUGGUGCAUGGUUGUCGUCAGCUCGUGUCGUGAGAUGUUGGGUUAAGUCCCGCAACGAGCGCAACCCUUAAGCUUAGUUGCCAUCAUUAAGUUGGGCACUCUAAGUUGACUGCCGGUGACAAACCGGAGGAAGGUGGGGAUGACGUCAAAUCAUCAUGCCCCUUAUGAUUUGGGCUACACACGUGCUACAAUGGACAAUACAAAGGGCAGCGAAACCGCGAGGUCAAGCAAAUCCCAUAAAGUUGUUCUCAGUUCGGAUUGUAGUCUGCAACUCGACUACAUGAAGCUGGAAUCGCUAGUAAUCGUAGAUCAGCAUGCUACGGUGAAUACGUUCCCGGGUCU
This 1372-nucleotide ribosomal RNA is filed under the name uncultured bacterium. RNAcentral describes it as "bacterial SSU rRNA". It matches the Rfam family "Bacterial small subunit ribosomal RNA", at positions 28 to 1381 of the family's 1533-position model. The record is from RNAcentral.